Molecule: ribosomal RNA, 393 nt
Filed under: uncultured bacterium
Lineage: Bacteria
Description: partial 16S ribosomal RNA
Rfam family: Bacterial small subunit ribosomal RNA
Source: RNAcentral
AUACGGAGGAUCCGAGCGUUAUCCGGAUUUAUUGGGUUUAAAGGGAGCGUAGGUGGAUUGUUAAGUCAGUUGUGAAAGUUUGCGGCUCAACCGUAAAAUUGCAGUUGAAACUGGCAGUCUUGAGUACAGUAGAGGUGGGCGGAAUUCGUGGUGUAGCGGUGAAAUGCUUAGAUAUCACGUAGAACUCCGAUUGCGAAGGCAGCUCACUAGACUGUUACUGACACUGAUGCUCGAAAGUGCGGGUAUCAAACAGGAUUAGAUACCCUGGUAGUCCGCACAGUAAACGAUGAAUACUCGCUGUUUGCGAUACACUGUAAGCGGCCAAGCGAAAGCGUUAAGUAUUCCACCUGGGGAGUACGCCGGCAACGGUGAAACUCAAAUGAAUUGACGGGG